CUGGGGAUUGUGGGUUCGUGUCCCAUCUGGGUC
This 33-nucleotide non-coding RNA is filed under the name Macaca fascicularis (crab-eating macaque). The record is from RNAcentral. Lineage: Eukaryota; Metazoa; Chordata; Mammalia; Primates; Cercopithecidae. RNAcentral also lists the same sequence under 2 other names.